CCUACGGGCGGCAGCAGUGGGGAAUAUUGGGCAAUGGGCGCAAGCCUGACCCAGCAACGCCGCGUGAAGGAAGAAGGCUUUCGGGUUGUAAACUUCUUUUCUGAGGGACGAAGAAAGUGACGGUACCGCAGGAAUAAGCCACGGCUAACUACGUGCCAGAAGCCGCGGUAAUACGUAGGUGGCAAGCGUUAUCCGGAUUUAGUGGGUGUAAAGGGCGUGUAGGCGGGAAAGAAAGUCAGAUGUGAAAACUCAGGGCUCAACCCGGAGCCUGCAUUUGAAACUGUUUUUCUUGAGUGCUUGGGAGGCCAUCGGAAUUCCGUGUGUAGCGGUGAAAUGCGUAGAUAUACGGAGGAACACCAGUGGCGAAGGCGGAUUGCUGGACAGUAACUGACGCUGAGGCGCGAAAGCGUGGGGAGCAAACAGGAUUAGAUACCCCAGUAGUC
Molecule: ribosomal RNA, 443 nt
Filed under: uncultured bacterium
Lineage: Bacteria
Description: partial 16S ribosomal RNA
Rfam family: Bacterial small subunit ribosomal RNA
Source: RNAcentral